RNAcentral lists this transfer RNA (72 nucleotides) under Bacteroidia bacterium. Its description in RNAcentral is "tRNA-His". It matches the Rfam family "tRNA". Rfam says of the family: Transfer RNA (tRNA) molecules are approximately 80 nucleotides in length. Their secondary structure includes four short double-helical elements and three loops (D, anti-codon, and T loops). Further hydrogen bonds mediate the characteristic L-shaped molecular structure. tRNAs have two regions of fundamental functional importance: the anti-codon, which is responsible for specific mRNA codon recognition, and the 3' end, to which the tRNAs corresponding amino acid is attached (by aminoacyl-tRNA synthetases). tRNAs cope with the degeneracy of the genetic code in two manners: having more than one tRNA (with a specific anti-codon) for a particular amino acid; and 'wobble' base-pairing, i.e. permitting non-standard base-pairing at the 3rd anti-codon position. The record is from RNAcentral. Lineage: Bacteria; Pseudomonadati; Bacteroidota; Bacteroidia.
GUGAGAUUAGUGUAAAGGUAAACACAGCAGUUUGUGAAUCUGCUAAUAAGAGUUCGAGUCUCUUAUUUCACC